UACGGGGGGGGCAAGCGUUGUUCGGAAUUACUGGGCGUAAAGGGCGCGUAGGCGGCCUUGUCAGUCAGACGUGAAAUCCCCAGGCUUAACCUGGGAACUGCGUCUGAUACUACAAGGCUGGAGUUCGGGAGAGGAAUGUGGAAUUCCAGGUGUAGCGGUGAAAUGCGUAGAUAUCUGGAGGAACACCGGUGGCGAAGGCGGCAUUCUGGACCGAAACUGACGCUGAUGCGCGAAAGCCAGGGGAGCAAACGGG
This 253-nucleotide ribosomal RNA is filed under the name uncultured bacterium. RNAcentral's name for it is "partial 16S ribosomal RNA". It matches the Rfam family "Bacterial small subunit ribosomal RNA", at positions 524 to 776 of the family's 1533-position model. The record is from RNAcentral.